This 875-nucleotide long non-coding RNA is filed under the name Vulpes vulpes (red fox). RNAcentral's name for it is "lncRNA (ENSVVUG00000001932.1)". Lineage: Eukaryota; Metazoa; Chordata; Mammalia; Carnivora; Canidae. The record is from RNAcentral.
UUCAUGUUCUCUUUCCUUCCACUAUCAAGUAGGUUCCCUGUUUGUGUGCUGAUGGUCCAGUGUAGCUACCAAAGUGCCCAACAGACAAAAGAACCUCAGUAAAUACCUUGGAGAAUGCUAAGUGAAUAUAAUAUCACAGGUAUCGCCACUGAAAUUACAGGUGACAUGAUAAUCAUUUUUCCACCAAGGAGGUGAGAUCAUGGAGUCCCAAACAUUUACAUUAGGCUCACAUGCUGCUUUCUACGCUUGCACAGAUGUUGCUCCAGCACCCAAGGUCCUAACCGCAAAUGUCAUCUGGUUUGACAGUGCACUGAUAAAGGCAGAGGAGGUGCUUUAUAAUCAUCCCUGUCUCCUGAAGUUCUGGGCCACAGUCUUCCUCAGGAAGACUCCUCGCUCACCAGCGACAUGAAAGAUGGCCAGCACUUGAGUCCUAGAGCAGAUGGGGUUCUGCUGUGGUGCACCCACUCCUGCCUCUUGGGCCACAGCACUCAGCAGACACUUCGACGUCUUACAUUACCUCUACAAGCUGUGUAGAUUGUUCUCCCUCAUCACUGACCAAACACACUGAACUUCACAAGGUCCACUCUAAGAGCUUCACUCCUUGUGAAAUGAAGAGCAAAGAAUACUGUUUUACUUACAGCUUCUGAGUGGGCAUUGAACAUCUCUGUAGCUCUUGUGUAGUUUUUUUUUUUUUUUUUGUCUUUUGGGAGUGUGAUUUGCCAUAGAAUCUAUAGGAGCAUUUUACUGAAAUAGGCUGUUCUCCUUCCCGGAGACAUCAUAUUGUACCUGCAUUUUCCAAGUUUCUCGGGAGAUAUGUAUAUUCAGCAUCACUGUGAAGGCAAAAGAGUGAAUUUUGAUAAUAAAUUUCAUCCAAG